This 66-nucleotide transfer RNA is filed under the name Brachycybe lecontii. RNAcentral describes it as "tRNA-Ala". Lineage: Eukaryota; Metazoa; Arthropoda; Diplopoda; Playtdesmida; Andrognathidae. The record is from RNAcentral.
UGGUAUAUAAUUAAAUUUAUAAUAUUUGAAUUGCAAUCAUAAUUUACCAAAUAUAGGUUAUGCCUA